UUCUGAAUAAUUUGAAUUGUAAUCGAAUGAAUAUUCAAAAUUAAUGGAAUGAACAAUGUUUCAAUUAAUUAGAAAUGUGUUUAAUGUAGUGUACAAAAAAUUACGAUUAAAUAAUGCAAAUGCAAGACUUCUCGAUAAAUUAGGCCAUACAUUUGGAUUGAAAAGAGAACAAGUUUUCUUAGUUUUUGUUCUCUUUCUUGGAGUUUAUUUGAUCAUUGGAGACGGAGCAGAAUUUGUCUGUAAUUUUUCUGCAAUCAUCUAUCCGAUUUAUUCUUCAAGACCAGAUGGUCGAGCCCAGCCUUCCGCCCGGGGUCUAAAACCAAAUCGUUUCCUAAAUUUCCAAAAAUUGGUUGUCGGCCUUUUUUUUGACCAAAUUAGAUCAUCUUUAUUAUAAGCCUCGUGACGGACAAAAAGGCUUAGGCUUAAUAUCUUCGGUGCCACAAUAGGGACAACAUGACACAUAUAGGUUAAACCAUCCUUUGAAUUUUUUGGGUAGACACGAACGUGAAUUUGAAUCCUUCAGGAUUGUAAAGAGUAAAAUCGAUAGAACAGGAAAAUAUAGAAGAAUCGAAAAGAAUGUUGAUGUUUUGGACAAUUUUUGGAUGGCUUUAUUUUCUGGAGCGCAUCUCUUUUUUCUCCAGAUACAUUCAUUAUUAUUGGAUUCUCAAAAUGGUUUUUCUGUUGCUUUGUUUCGUACCAAUACCAAAUAAUUUAUCUGAUUACUUCAUUCAGACCAUUGAUAAUGUUACAACAUAUUUAAAUGAUGCGGAUAAAAACGCUGCUACGCGGAAAACCUCUUCGGAGUCUCAAUAAUUCUUGUUUAAAAUUUAAGAAAUAAGAAUAAAAUAUGAGUAAAAAUA
Molecule: RNA transcript, 860 nt
Organism: Centruroides sculpturatus (bark scorpion)
Lineage: Eukaryota; Metazoa; Arthropoda; Arachnida; Scorpiones; Buthidae
Gene name: receptor expression-enhancing protein 5-like
Exons: 6
Source: RefSeq, a predicted model, not a curated record